This 484-nucleotide ribosomal RNA is filed under the name uncultured bacterium. RNAcentral describes it as "partial 16S ribosomal RNA". It matches the Rfam family "Bacterial small subunit ribosomal RNA", at positions 30 to 507 of the family's 1533-position model. The record is from RNAcentral.
AUUGAACGCUGGCGGCAGGCCUAACACAUGCAAGUCGAGCGGAUGAAGGGAGCUUGCUCCUGGAUUCAGCGGCGGACGGGUGAGUAAUGCCUAGGAAUCUGCCUGGUAGUGGGGGAUAACGUCCGGAAACGGGCGCUAAUACCGCGUACGUCCUGAGGGAGAAAGUGGGGGAUCUUCGGACCUCACGCUAUCAGAUGAGCCUAGGUCGGAUUAGCUAGUUGGUGGGGUAAAGGCCUACCAAGGCGACGAUCCGUAACUGGUCUGAGAGGAUGAUCAGUCACACUGGAACUGAGACACGGUCCAGACUCCUACGGGAGGCAGCAGUGGGGAAUAUUGGAAAAUGGGCGAAAGCCUGAUCCAGCCAUGCCGCGUGUGUGAAGAAGGUCUUCGGAUUGUAAAGCACUUUAAGUUGGGAGGAAGGGCAGUAAGUUAAUACCUUGCUGUUUUGACGUUACCAACAGAAUAAGCACCGGCUAACUUCGUG